AGUAUCUAUCAUCUUUGUUUCAUCAAGAGAAGCAAAAACAUAGAAUUGGGAAAUUAACUACUUUUGAACGAAACCACCCAAAAGAAUCUCAGUUGAUGUCAGAGUCAUCAAAAUCGUCCUCAAAGGAAUUGAAGAAAUCGGCGUCAGCAAGCUUGUUCUCGGCGGAGAUCACACCCUCGCCCAAUAUCUCAAGUGGGUCCACAUCGUCCACGUCCAUGGCGACCGUCGAUCCUUGUUCUUCCAGCUCCGCAAAGAAUUCCAUCGGUGUAGGCCUCAUUUCUGUGGCAAUCAAAAAAAUAAUUAAAACCAAUAGGUUUGUUUGAAUUGGUCACUCGGAGGAAUGGGAUUUUCCAAGAUGAAGCAGAUGAAAG
This 371-nucleotide unclassified non-coding RNA is filed under the name Hevea brasiliensis (rubber tree). The record is from RNAcentral. Lineage: Eukaryota; Viridiplantae; Streptophyta; Magnoliopsida; Malpighiales; Euphorbiaceae.